UAGGUAGAUGACAGUUUGUUCCUCAGUGU
Molecule: non-coding RNA, 29 nt
Filed under: Rattus norvegicus (Norway rat)
Lineage: Eukaryota; Metazoa; Chordata; Mammalia; Rodentia; Muridae
Source: RNAcentral